UGAUUGGGGUGAAGUCGUAACAAGGUAGCCGUAUCGGAAGGUGCGGCUGGAUCACCUCCUUUCUAGGGAUAGCGGUGAGGUGCAAGUAACCAGUGACCCGCAGAUUUCCGAAUGGGGAAACCCGGCAGUAGUAGUACUGUCACCUCUCGUAUGAGAGGAGGGCACCCGGUGAACUGAAACAUCUAAGUAGCCGGAGGAAGAGGAAUCAAAAGAGAUGCCCCCAGUAGCGGCGAGCGAAGCGGGCAAAGCCCAAACCGGAGCGGGAAACCGCACCGGGGUUGAGGACUACCAACAAGUACCUAGAUGAAGUCGAAUCAGGUGGGAACCUGAGCCAGAGACGGUGAGAGCCCGGUAGACGUAAAGAAGGGUAUGGGGUAGUAUCCAGAGUACCACGGGGCACGAGGAACCUUGUGGGAAGCAGGGGGGACCACCCUCCAAGGCGAAAUACUGAUAUGGACCGAUAGCGCAUAGUACCGUGAGGGAAAGGUGAAAAGAACCCCGGGAGGGGAAUGAAAGAGAACCUGAAACCGUAUGUCUACAAGCAGUCGAAGCACCGUAUGCGUGCGACGGCGUGCCUAUUGAAGAAUGAACCGGCGAGUUAUUUCAUCCGGCGAGGUUAAGCGGAAAACGCGGAGCCGAAGCGAAAGCGAGUCUGAACAGGGCGAUAAGUCGGAUGGAAUAGACCCGAAACCACAGUGAUCUAUCCAUGCCCAGGUUGAAGCACAGGUAAAAAUGUGUGGAGGACCGAACCAGUGAGCGUUGAAAAGCUUUUGGAUGAGGUGUGGAUAGGGGUGAAAUGCCAAUCGAACGUGGAGAUAGCUGGUUCUCCCCGAAAUAGCUUUAGGGCUAGCCUCAUGGCAAGAGUGCAGGCGGUAGAGCACUGAACAGGGUAGGGGCCUAUCCGGCUACCGAACCUAAUCAAACUACGAAUGGCUGUACUUAUCCAUGGGAGUCAGACUGCGAGUGAUAAGACCCGUAGUCAAGAGGGAAACAGCCCAGACCAACAGCUAAGGUCCCCAAUGCCGUACUAAGUGGUAAAGGAUGUGGAGUUUCGAAAACAACCAGGAUGUUGGCUUAGAAGCAGCCACCAUUAAAAGAGUGCGUAAUAGCUCACUGGUCGAGAGACUCUGCGCCGAAGAUGACCGGGGCUAAAGUACGGAACCGAAGCUUUGGCAUGUAUGUAAAUACAUGGGUAGGGGAGCGUUCCUGCAUGGGCGAAGCCUGACCGGAAGGACAGGUGGACAGGCAGGAAGUGAGAAUGCCGGUAUGAGUAGCGAAAAGAAAGGUGAGAAUCCUUUCCACCGAAAGCCUAAGGGUUCCUGGGCAACGAUCGUCGACCCAGGGUAAGUCGGGACCUAAUCCGAGGCGAAGACGCAUAGGAGAUGGACAACAGGUUGAAAUUCCUGUACCGACGUCGUCUGUUUGAGCGAUGGAGUGACACAAGAAGGAAAGUUCGCAUGCGAUUGGAAGAGCAUGUCUAAGCUAAGGUGCGCGGGAAAACCCUCGUUAAGGAACUCGGCAAAAUGUAUCCGUAACUUCGGGAAAAGGAUAACCCAGAGUACGUGAAGGAAAGAAACAUCCGGAGCGGGAAUGGGUGGCACAAGAGAGGCCCAAGCGACUGUUUACCACAAACACAGGCGUCUGCUAAAGAGAAAUCUGAUGUAUAGAUGCUGACACCUGCCCGGUGCUGGAAGGUUAAGAGGACGUGUUAGCCGCAAGGCGAAGCAGAGAAUUGAAGCCCCAGUAAACGGCGGCCGUAACUAUAACGGUCCUAAGGUAGCGAAAUUCCUUGUCGGGUAAGUUCCGACCCGCACGAAAGGUGUAACGAUUUGGGCACUGUCUCAACGAGGGACCCGGUGAAAUUGAAGUACCUGUGAAGAUGCAGGUUACCCGCGACUGGACAGAAAGACCCCAUGGAGCUUUACUGUAACCUGAGAUUGAAUUUUGGUAGAAGAUGUACAGGAUAGUUGGGAGACGUAGAAGCGCGCACGCCAGUGUACGCAGAGUCGAUGGUGGGAUACCAACCUUGUUUUAUUGAAAUUCUAACGAGAGCCGUAACGAGGCUGCGGACAGUCUCAGGCGGGCAGUUUGACUGGGGCGGUCGCCUCCGAAAGAGCAACGGAGGCGCCCAAAGGUUCCCUCAGCGCGGACGGAAACCGCGCGAAGAGUGUAAAGGCAGAAGGGAGCUUGACUGCGAGACGGACAGGUCGAGCAGGGACGAAAGUCGGGCUUAGUGAUCCGGUGGUAGAGAGUGGAAUUGCCAUCGCUCAACGGAUAAAAGCUACCCUGGGGAUAACAGGCUUAUCUCUCCCAAGAGUCCAUAUCGACGGGGAGGUUUGGCACCUCGAUGUCGGCUCAUCACAUCCUGGGGCUGUAGUAGGUCCCAAGGGUUGGGCUGUUCGCCCAUUAAAGUGGUACGCGAGCUGGGUUCAGAACGUCGUGAGACAGUUCGGUCCCUAUCCAUCGCGGGCGCAAGAAACUUGAAAGGGGCUGCUCCUAGUACGAGAGGACCGGAGUGGACGAACCAAUGGUGUAUCGGUUAUGCCGCCAGGCGUACAGCCGAGUAGCUACGUUCGGGACGGAUAAACGCUGAAAGCAUCUAAGCGUGAAACCAGCCUAAAGAUGAGGUUUCUCAUUGC
RNAcentral lists this ribosomal RNA (2639 nucleotides) under human oral metagenome. Its description in RNAcentral is "bacterial LSU rRNA". It matches the Rfam family "Bacterial large subunit ribosomal RNA". The record is from RNAcentral.